RNAcentral lists this transfer RNA (38 nucleotides) under Abudefduf vaigiensis (Indo-Pacific sergeant). RNAcentral describes it as "partial tRNA-Thr". Lineage: Eukaryota; Metazoa; Chordata; Actinopteri; Pomacentridae. The record is from RNAcentral.
GCAAUAGUAGCUCAAUGCCAGAGCGCCGGUCUUGUAAA